Molecule: non-coding RNA, 208 nt
Organism: Phoenix dactylifera (date palm)
Lineage: Eukaryota; Viridiplantae; Streptophyta; Magnoliopsida; Arecales; Arecaceae
Source: RefSeq, a predicted model, not a curated record
AGAAAUAUAGAAAUUUUUGGUGCACCCAGGCUUCCUAGCAAAUUUCAGGAGGAGAAGAGAGUCCCGGAAGUGUGCCGGGAGUAUCAAGCACUAGGGUGGUGCGUUAGCCAUCACAAGAUCGGCAGAGUCAUAACAUUAUAAAAGUACCGCAUCAGCAUCAUCCUAGAAGUUUGUCAUAGAAGGUUGGCCAUGCCCCUCUGAGUGAAAG